This 217-nucleotide small nuclear RNA is filed under the name Varanus komodoensis (Komodo dragon). Its description in RNAcentral is "U2 spliceosomal RNA (ENSVKKG00000011952.1)". The stretch from base 1 to 133 matches the Rfam family "U2 spliceosomal RNA". From Rfam's summary of the family: U2 is a small nuclear RNA (snRNA) component of the spliceosome (involved in pre-mRNA splicing). Complementary binding between U2 snRNA (in an area lying towards the 5' end but 3' to hairpin I) and the branchpoint sequence (BPS) of the intron results the bulging out of an unpaired adenosine, on the BPS, which initiates a nucleophilic attack at the intronic 5' splice site, thus starting the first of two transesterification reactions that mediate splicing. The record is from Rfam by way of RNAcentral. Lineage: Eukaryota; Metazoa; Chordata; Lepidosauria; Squamata; Varanidae.
ACUGCUUCUCUGCCUUUUGGUGAAGAUCAAGUGUAGCAUCUGUUCUAAUUGGUUUAAUAUCUGGCAAGUCCUCUGUUUGAGGACUAGAUAUUGAAUGGAUUUUUGGGACUGGGAGAUGGAAUAGGGACUAAAAAAAGUGAAGAAUUAUCAUGACGGCAGCCAGUGAUGAGCGGAGUCCCCCAGGGCUCAGUUCUGGGACUGAUUCUGUUCAACCUUU